Molecule: ribosomal RNA, 273 nt
Filed under: uncultured bacterium
Lineage: Bacteria
Description: partial 16S ribosomal RNA
Rfam family: Bacterial small subunit ribosomal RNA
Source: RNAcentral
UACGAAGGGGGCUAGCGUUGUUCGGAUUUACUGGGCGUAAAGCGCACGUAGGCGGAUUGUUAAGUCAGGGGUGAAAUCCUGGAGCUCAACUCCAGAACUGCCUUUGAUACUGGCAAUCUAGAGUCCGGAAGAGGUGAGUGGAACUCCUAGUGUAGAGGUGGAAUUCGUAGAUAUUAGGAAGAACACCAGUGGCGAAGGCGGCUCACUGGUCCGGUACUGACGCUGAGGUGCGAAAGCGUGGGGAGCAAACAGGAUUAGAAACCCUAGUAGUCC